This 650-nucleotide long non-coding RNA is filed under the name Anas platyrhynchos platyrhynchos (common mallard). RNAcentral describes it as "lncRNA (ENSAPLG00000024299.1)". The record is from RNAcentral. Lineage: Eukaryota; Metazoa; Chordata; Aves; Anseriformes; Anatidae.
AUGGGAAAGAGAAGCUUUUGUUUGGUCUUUUUCUACAGAUAUGUGACCAAGGCAGCUUUGAAGCCGUUCCCAAGAAUCCUUCCUCCUUCUGUGGGAUGCCUUAUCUGUGGAGUUUCUGAUUCUGAACUUCGUUCUGCAGUCCUUCACUCUUGUGCCAUGCAGUUGAGGAAGAGUUGCUCAGUCCCUAUCCGAAGAUCGCCUUCAUGGAAAUCCAGGACAAACUACAAAGAAGAUGUCUGGACAAUACACCUUCCACUGCCAUUCGCCUCUCAAUCCAUUCUGCCUUCGAUUUCAAACAAGCUGAGCUGUAUGAAGCUAAUCGUCAAAGUUUAACAUCACAUUUUUGUAGAUUAAAGGACGUUUAUCCAUAUACUUUGUCAUUUAAGCCAUCUGCGAGAAAUCCAGUGUGAUGGAUGAGAAAGGACAGUCCCAGAGCAGCGUCUCCAAGGACUCCUAGGUUUGAGGCAGACACAAAGUCAAGCCUUGCUGGUCUCUUUGCACGCAAAGGGAUGUGAGAGCCUGUGGGGACCCUGCAGAAGUCAUGGGACUGGGCUGAACUGAGAGCUCCAAAAGGUUUCCUGUUUCUCCCUUUCUGGAUAUAAAUAGCGCAUUUGAAUAAAAACCUUUGCUGUUUACUUUUCUGCUGUUCU